This 253-nucleotide ribosomal RNA is filed under the name uncultured bacterium. Its description in RNAcentral is "partial 16S ribosomal RNA". It matches the Rfam family "Bacterial small subunit ribosomal RNA", at positions 524 to 776 of the family's 1533-position model. The record is from RNAcentral.
UACGAAGGGGGCUAGCGUUGUUCGGAAUCACUGGGCGUAAAGCGCACGUAGGCGGACUGAUAAGUCGGGGGUAAAAUCCCGGGGCUCAACCCCGGAACUGCCUUCGAUACUGUCAGUCUCGAGUCCGAGAGAGGUGAGUGGAAUUCCUAGUGUAGAGGUGAAAUUCGUAGAUAUUAGGAAGAACACCAGUGGCGAAGGCGGCUCACUGGCUCGGUACUGACGCUGAGGUGCGAAAGCGUGGGGAGCAAACAGG